GAAGGUGAAGGUUCAGAGGGUAAAAUCGGACACGGAGAAUGCGAGGAAGUAACAAUCUGUGAAGACUGAAGCAGUCUAGGUGUAGCUGGUAAUGGUUCGGAGCUAGCAGAAGGAGAAAUAGAAGCAGAGGGCACACAAGUCCGAGUAGCAGCGGCACGAGAAUAUUGCUAAAUCAUAGGAGGGACCUCUGGAAUAGACGCAUCAGAGAUAGCUUGUGAUGGUGAGGAGAAAACAGAACCUAUUCCAA
This 247-nucleotide long non-coding RNA is filed under the name Phoenix dactylifera (date palm). RNAcentral's name for it is "long non-coding RNA (PDAC_LNC006734)". The record is from RNAcentral. Lineage: Eukaryota; Viridiplantae; Streptophyta; Magnoliopsida; Arecales; Arecaceae.